Molecule: non-coding RNA, 101 nt
Filed under: uncultured Thiohalocapsa sp.
Lineage: Bacteria; Pseudomonadati; Pseudomonadota; Gammaproteobacteria; Chromatiales; Chromatiaceae
Source: RNAcentral
GGAACCGACCCGCCGGAGUCUGCCUGCAGGGGCCGGCUCCAAACACACCCGAGCAGCCUUGGCUGAAGACCAUGGUCGUGGGCGUAGGGGGAGAAGGCGCA